AUGGCCACGCUGUCUCCACCCGAGACUCAGUGAAAUUGAAAUCGCUGUGAAGAUGCAGUGUACCCGCGGCUAGACGGAAAGACCCCGUGAACCUUUACUACAGCUUGGCACUGAACAUUGAACCUACAUGUGUAGGAUAGGUGGGAGGCUAUGAAGACGUGACGCCAGUUGCGUUGGAGCCGUCCUUGAAAUACCACCCUUGUAUGUUUGAUGUUCUAACUUAGACCCAUUAUCUGGGUUGAGGACAGUGCCUGGUGGGUAGUUUGACUGGGGCGGUCUCCUCCCAAAGAGUAACGGAGGAGCACGAAGGUGGGCUAAUCACGGUUGGACAUCGUGAGG
This 339-nucleotide ribosomal RNA is filed under the name Vibrio cholerae. RNAcentral describes it as "partial 23S ribosomal RNA". It matches the Rfam family "Bacterial large subunit ribosomal RNA", at positions 2007 to 2345 of the family's 2925-position model. The record is from RNAcentral. Lineage: Bacteria; Pseudomonadati; Pseudomonadota; Gammaproteobacteria; Vibrionales; Vibrionaceae.